Mercurialis annua (annual mercury) is the source of this 548-nucleotide long non-coding RNA. RefSeq lists it as uncharacterized. The record is from RefSeq and is a predicted model, not a curated record. NCBI's taxonomy places the organism in Eukaryota, Viridiplantae, Streptophyta, Magnoliopsida, Malpighiales, Euphorbiaceae. The transcript is spliced from 3 exons.
AUCAUUUUCAGCUCCUAAAAUUCGUCCUUCACCCUUUCUCCAUGGAAGAACAUCAAGCAAAUUUCAAAUGGUCAUAACUCACUCAAUUUUGAUCCGAAUUGAGCGAUUCUUGUGGCCACGGAACGAGGGAAGGAUCCUCUACUGAUAUAUAGUAUCAAUUUAAGGUUAUUGAAAGCUUGAAGGGAGUAUUUUGAUGGUUGUUCAUGGAGGAAUUCAUUCAACCAAAGGGUUAUCCCAUCAAGAAAAGGGAUGGUAUGAUAUGAUUUGAAGAGUUAAGCUUCCGAAGUUUUAAUUCUCGGAAGUCAUUUGUAUAAGAAGAAAAAGAAGGUUUUUAUUCUAGCAGUCCGCAGUAGUCUAGAUAUUUUAACUAGAAUUUUGUAUAACGCGUUUUUAACUCUGAUAUUAUUUGUAAAUGGGGUCACAUGUAUUUUAAUAUAUGAAAUAUGUUUUGAUUUGCGAAAAAAAUUUACACAGGUUUUUAGGCUUGCUACGGGAUUUGGAGCUACCACUCCCAUUCCCUAGCGCCGGUCGCGGCUCAUAAAUUUGGG